CUCUUUUCUAAGAAGACAUUCAUCUCUUUUCUGAGAAGGCGUUUCUGCAAAGGCAUUCAUCAUCAUCAGCCUCCUGAGUAGCUGGAAUUACAGAACUUCCAAGAUGGUGGUGAGCCGCUUCCAAGAUGGUGGCAGGCCGCUUCCAAGAUGGUGGCAGGCCGCUUCCAAGAUGGUGGCAGGCCGCUUCCAAGAUGGUGGCAGGCCGCUUCCAAGAUGGUGGCAGGCCGCUUCCAAGAUGGUGGCAAGUCUCGUGUUCUCUGACCUGGGGUUCUUGGCCUCAUGGAGUCCAAGGAACGGAAUCUUGGGUCAUGCGCUACAGCUGUCAUACUGAAAUCAUGAAGCUAAAGGCUACAGAGGGCUACUAGAAGCCUGAGUUUCUGAAGACUGUGUGGAACCAUCAAAGCAGCCCUGAAUAUUUCCCUUGAGACUUUUCCAUUAUAGGAAGGGCAAAGAAAUAGAUGAUGUAUGAUGU
Molecule: non-coding RNA, 472 nt
Filed under: Pan troglodytes (chimpanzee)
Lineage: Eukaryota; Metazoa; Chordata; Mammalia; Primates; Hominidae
Source: RNAcentral